GACGAACGCUGGCGGCGUGCUUAACACAUGCAAGUCGAACGAUGAUGCCCAGCUUGCUGGGUGGAUUAGUGGCGAACGGGUGAGUAACACGUGAGUAACCUGCCCCUGACUCUGGGAUAAGCGUUGGAAACGACGUCUAAUACUGGAUAUGACUGCCGGCCGCAUGGACUGGUGGUGGAAAGAUUUUUUGGUUGGGGAUGGACUCGCGGCCUAUCAGCUUGUUGGUGAGGUAAUGGCUCACCAAGGCGACGACGGGUAGCCGGCCUGAGAGGGUGACCGGCCACACUGGGACUGAGACACGGCCCAGACUCCUACGGGAGGCAGCAGUGGGGAAUAUUGCACAAUGGGCGAGAGCCUGAUGCAGCAACGCCGCGUGAGGGAUGACGGCCUUCGGGUUGUAAACCUCUUUUAGUAGGGAAGAAGCGUAAGUGACGGUACCUGCAGAAAAAGCACCGGUUAACUACGUGCCAGCCGCCGCCGUAA
This 483-nucleotide ribosomal RNA is filed under the name uncultured bacterium. RNAcentral describes it as "partial 16S ribosomal RNA". It matches the Rfam family "Bacterial small subunit ribosomal RNA", at positions 28 to 523 of the family's 1533-position model. The record is from RNAcentral.